Molecule: ribosomal RNA, 372 nt
Filed under: Triticum aestivum (bread wheat)
Lineage: Eukaryota; Viridiplantae; Streptophyta; Magnoliopsida; Poales; Poaceae
Description: partial small subunit ribosomal RNA
Source: RNAcentral
AUGUACAAGUUGUACAAGAGCGAGCUGGACGCGAUCAUGCCUGAGCAGAGUUUUGGUAACCCUAUAGAGUUCAUGCUGAAUCCGAUGUGCACUAAGGAUAGGGAUCUCUGGCAUAUGUGGUGCCCACUCAUACGCAACUGGGCGGUUGAGCUUCACCUGCCACAUCGGGUGUUCCGCCAGUUUGGUUUGUUCCAGCCACACCCGCCGGAGUGGGAGGACACGAACAAGUUGCUACACGCGUUGGAUAGGAAAAUGCUGCGAAAGAUCAAGGAUUGGGCCAAGCAUCACAAGAAUACCCGUGUGGAGGUAUGCAAGCCGACGUAUGCUGAGGAGAUUUUGGAAGAUCCCAUCGUUUUUGAUGAGAUAGCCUAG